GUCCAGGGAUGGGAAUCGAACUGACAAUGUUCCGCUUACCGGGCAGAUGCCAUGUCCACUAGGCUACCCUGGA
Molecule: non-coding RNA, 73 nt
Organism: Cordylochernes scorpioides
Lineage: Eukaryota; Metazoa; Arthropoda; Arachnida; Pseudoscorpiones; Chernetidae
Source: the annotation of a GenBank genome assembly